AUUUUGGACAAUGGGCGCAAGCCUGAUCCAGCAAUGCCGCGUGCAGGAUGAAGGCCUUCGGGUUGUAAACUGCUUUUGUACGGAACGAAAAAGCUCUCUCUAAUACAGGGGGUGAAUGACGGUACCGUAAGAAUAAGCACCGGCUAACUACGUGCCAGCAGCCGCGGUAAUACGCAGGGUGCAAGCGUUAAUCGGAAUUACUGGGCGUAAAGCGUGCGCAGGCGGUUUUGUAAGACAGAGGUGGUAUCCCCGGGCUCAACGUGGGAACUGCCAUUGUGACUGCACAGCUGGAGGUCGGGAUAGGGGGAUGGAAUUCCGCGUGUAGCAGUGAAAUGCGUAGAUAUGCGGAGGAACACCGAUGGCGAAGGCAAUCCCCUGGGCCUGCACUGACGCUCAUGCACGAAAGCGUGGGGAGCAAACA
This 421-nucleotide ribosomal RNA is filed under the name uncultured bacterium. Its description in RNAcentral is "bacterial SSU rRNA". It matches the Rfam family "Bacterial small subunit ribosomal RNA", at positions 361 to 774 of the family's 1533-position model. The record is from RNAcentral.